GCGCUGCGGGCGCAUGCGCAUCGGCGGCCAUAUUCGUCUCGGCGACAGUGAAGUCGGUGUUGAAUCGCGGUCAAGAUUUUUCGCAGAUUUUAAUCAUUAAAUAUUGAGGGGCGGGUCAAUUUACGUCGAGAAUGGCAAAUCAAGUGUUGUAUUAUCGUUGCAUUGUAUUCGUUUACGUCCGCGAGUAAUUAUUGUCGCGUAUUUUAAGCGGAAAUUCGUGUUCGCUCGAAGCGAGAGAAAUCCGCCGAAAUUGGGGGUCACACGAGUGAUCGCACGGACAACUACACAUAGGAAUCACAUAUGCAAUACGAAACAGCACGGUGAAUUUCGGAGUUUCAUCCAUGUACUCUACGAUGAAGCGGAAAAAGAGUCGAAAAUUGAAGAUCAAAGAAACAACUAUUACACGGUGAAAUGCUACGAGAUUUGAAUUGGUACGGCGGGAACAGACGCGGAUAAACGCUCGAUACUAACGAAUGGCUUGGGGCUAAAGUUGUGUCCGCCACCGAUGUGAGCUCCGUCCUGUUUCUUCGCUGCCAAAGAGGUCUUUGUGACUGGUGCAACAUUACCCGCGGAGGCAGUAUGUAUCGGAGACGGCAGGUUUGCGGUUGCGGGCGUCACAUGCGGUUUCCAGGUACUGCCACCUCUAUAAUGAUAAUUUAUAUCGUUCGUUAACAGACGUUGGUGGGCUUCCAAUUAUACAUCGUUGCAGUUUUAUAUUAUCAAAAUACUCGUUUCAUAAAAUCAUCAUAUUUUAA
This is a non-coding RNA of Nylanderia fulva, 755 nucleotides long. Lineage: Eukaryota; Metazoa; Arthropoda; Insecta; Hymenoptera; Formicidae. The record is from RefSeq and is a predicted model, not a curated record.